This 80-nucleotide microRNA precursor is filed under the name Cajanus cajan (pigeon pea). Its description in RNAcentral is "miRNA gene-KK1_050391". Lineage: Eukaryota; Viridiplantae; Streptophyta; Magnoliopsida; Fabales; Fabaceae. The record is from RNAcentral.
CAGAAAUUUCGGACGGAUUUAAAUCCGUCGGAAAUUUCGUCGGAAAUUUCAGACGGAUUUAAAUCCGUCAGAAAUUCCGU